Molecule: ribosomal RNA, 405 nt
Filed under: uncultured bacterium
Lineage: Bacteria
Description: bacterial SSU rRNA
Rfam family: Bacterial small subunit ribosomal RNA
Source: RNAcentral
GGGGAAUAUUGCGCAAUGGGCGAAAGCCUGACGCAGCGACGCCGCGUGAGGGACGACGGCCUUCGGGUUGUAAACCUCUUUCAGCAGGGACGAAGGGAAACUGACUGUACCUGCAGAAGAAGCACCGGCUAACUACGUGCCAGCAGCCGCGGUAAUACGUAGGGUGCAAGCGUUGUCCGGAUUUAUUGGGCGUAAAGAGCUCGUAGGCGGCCUGUCACGUCGGAUGUGAAAACCCGGGGCUCAACCCCGGGCCUGCAUUCGAUACGGGCAGGCUAGAGGAUGGCAGGGGAGACUGGAACUCCUGGUGUAGCGGUGAAAUGCGCAGAUAUCAGGAAGAACACCGGUGGCGAAGGCGGGUCUCUGGGCCAUUCCUGACGCUGAGGAGCGAAAGCGUGGGGAGCAAAC